Molecule: non-coding RNA, 148 nt
Filed under: Pan troglodytes (chimpanzee)
Lineage: Eukaryota; Metazoa; Chordata; Mammalia; Primates; Hominidae
Source: Rfam by way of RNAcentral
GCUGGGUGUGGUGGCUCGUGCCUGUAAUCCCAGCUACUCAGGAGGCUGAGGCAGGAGAAUCACUUGAACCCAGGAGGUGGAGGUUGCAGUGAGCCGAGAUCUCGCCACCGCACUCCAGCCUGGGUGACAGAGUGGGACUCUGUCUCAA